UUACACACGCAAGUCGAACGGCAGGCACGGGGGCAACCCUGGUGGCGAGUGGCGAACGGGUGAGUAAUGCAUCGGAACGUGCCCAUCGAUGGGGGAUAACUGCGCGAAAGCGUUGCUAAUACCGCAUACGACCUACGGGUGAAAGCAGGGGACCGCAAGGCCUUGCGUCGAUGGAGCGGCCGAUGCCGGAUUAGCUAGUUGGUGAGGUAAAGGCUCACCAAGGCGACGAUCCCGUAGCUGGUCUGAGAGGACGACCCAGCCACACUGGGACUGAGACACGGCCCAGACUCCUACGGGAGGCAGCAGUGGGGAAUCUUGGACAAUGGGCGAAAGCCUGAUCCAGCAAUGCCGCGUGUGGGAAGAAGGCCUUCGGGUUGUAAACCACUUUUGGCGGGAAAGAAAUGGUCUGUGCUAAUACCACGGAUUGAUGACGGUACCCGCAGAAUAAGCACCGGCUAACUACGUG
Molecule: ribosomal RNA, 466 nt
Filed under: uncultured bacterium
Lineage: Bacteria
Description: bacterial SSU rRNA
Rfam family: Bacterial small subunit ribosomal RNA
Source: RNAcentral